GCUCGUUUCUGCAGCAUAUACUAAAACUGGAACAAUACAGAGAAGAUUAGCAUGGCUCCUGCACAAGGAUGACAUGCAGCGUUCCAUAUUUAA
RNAcentral lists this small nuclear RNA (93 nucleotides) under Peromyscus maniculatus bairdii (prairie deer mouse). The record is from RNAcentral. Lineage: Eukaryota; Metazoa; Chordata; Mammalia; Rodentia; Cricetidae.